GAAGAAGCCAAUGACGAACGACAGUCAGAUAGAAAAAGGCAGACAAAUGCUAUUUUAACCACAGGAGCGAAAGUGUCAGUAUAAUCUAGCCCAAAUACCUAAGUAUACCCUUUGGUAACAAGGCGACCCUUAAGUCGAUCAACCUGACCGUCUGAGCCAAUUUUGACUGCAUAAACUCAACGACAACCAACCUUAGAUUUAUCUAUAGGAAGGGAGACAAGCUCCCAAGUACCACUUUUAUGCAAAGCAGACAUCUCAUCUACCAUAGCCUGUCUCCAUGCAGAAUGAGAAAGUGUCUCACUUGUAGUUUUAG
This 313-nucleotide unclassified non-coding RNA is filed under the name Hevea brasiliensis (rubber tree). The record is from RNAcentral. Lineage: Eukaryota; Viridiplantae; Streptophyta; Magnoliopsida; Malpighiales; Euphorbiaceae.